This 453-nucleotide ribosomal RNA is filed under the name uncultured Porphyromonadaceae bacterium. Its description in RNAcentral is "partial 16S ribosomal RNA". It matches the Rfam family "Bacterial small subunit ribosomal RNA", at positions 341 to 792 of the family's 1533-position model. Lineage: Bacteria; Pseudomonadati; Bacteroidota; Bacteroidia; Bacteroidales; Porphyromonadaceae. The record is from RNAcentral.
ACGGAAGGCAGCAGUGAGGAAUAUUGGUCAAUGGGCGAGAGCCUGAACCAGCCAAGUCGCGUGAAGGAUGAAGGUUCUAUGGAUUGUAAACUUCUUUUGUUCGGGGGUAAAGUGAGUCACGUGUGGCUUAUUGCAAGUAUCGAACGAAUAAGCAUCGGCUAACUCCGUGCCAGCAGCCGCGGUAAUACGGAGGAUGCGAGCGUUAUCCGGAUUUAUUGGGUUUAAAGGGUGCGUAGGCGGGAUGUUAAGUCAGCGGUUAAAUAGUGUAGCUCAACUAUACUUCGCCGUUGAAACUGGCGUUCUUGAGUGUAAACGAGGUAGGCGGAAUGUGACGUGUAGCGGUGAAAUGCUUAGAUAUGCUGCAGAACUCCGAUUGCGAAGGCAGCUGUCCAGAGAUGUACUGACGCUGAGGCACGAAAGCAUGGGUAUCAAACAGGAUUAGAUACCCUGGUA